This 253-nucleotide ribosomal RNA is filed under the name uncultured bacterium. RNAcentral describes it as "partial 16S ribosomal RNA". It matches the Rfam family "Bacterial small subunit ribosomal RNA", at positions 524 to 776 of the family's 1533-position model. The record is from RNAcentral.
UACGUAGGGUCCGAGCGUUGUCCGGAAUUAUUGGGCGUAAAGGGCUCGUAGGCGGUUUGUCACGUCGGGAGUGAAAACUCAGGGCUCAACCCUGAGCGUGCUUUCGAUACGGGCAGACUAGAGGUAUUCAGGGGAGAACGGAAUUCCUGGUGUAGCGGUGGAAUGCGCAGAUAUCAGGAGGAACACCGGUGGCGAAGGCGGUUCUCUGGGAAUUACCUGACGCUGAGGAGCGAAAGCAUGGGGAGCGAACAGG